AAAAUGUGUACUGUUGAAGGUAGGGACAAGUAUGGUGACCUUCCUUGAGACAGUUGGAUAUGAGCAGCAGCCCUUCCUCCUCUGUGUCGGUGAAAGGAAGAACAGCCUUCAGAAGUUUUACAUCGUCGUUGACCAGAAGGCCAUCCCAUGCAAGGCCCAAACAUCAGUGGCAGCUUUUGACGAGCUCUUUAAGGCACACUAUGUCUUCAGUGUGUCCUACCAUGAAGCGUUGUGUAACUUCUACACAUUCAUCCAGACCACUGUGUACGGUAUCGACGUGGGGAAGGCAAAGGAGUCCUCAAGAGUCAAGGAGAUUAGAGUAAGGCUGCUUAACAAAGACCAGGGGAGUGGUGCCGCCGGAGCGCAAGGGAGCAGCGCUCCCGCCCUUUUUGCAAUUUGAGAAUAUAAGUUAGUAGUUGAAUAGAAUAGAGCAGUAUCACCAUCUGCUCUAUUUCGCUCCUGAAACAGUAACUCAAGAAGAUCUAAGUGCGUAUCCCCAUGAAGCUGAUUGAGAUCAAAUGAUUGUCAUGCAGAUGCAGUUUGGACAUUUCACCGGUAAAACUCAAAUAAUUAUCGUUCACCAAUGACACUGAUGGCCUAUUUGUAAAUUAGAUACCCUCAAACACCAAGUUAGGCAUAUUACAUUUUAGUGAGAGAGUGUGGGCAUGGGGCAGAUGUUGCAGUUGGAGGAUGCAUUUUGUGCAUAUUGUAUUAUACUAUUAAUUACGUUACAUCUGUCAGUACAAACUUUGAUUGUAAAAUUAUGUAAUUGACGUUUUGGGGGUUGGCUCCCGAACCUAACAAAAACAAAUGGCACUAUACCACUUACAUAGACAUGUGAAUUGAGAUGUGUUUACAUGUUUUAUUUGUAAAAUACACUACAGCAGUUGUGCAUUGCUUUUUUGACAAGUUUCAUCAUGGUUUGUCAAUAAAAUGUAAUUGAAUCUGGACAGCAGUUGUUGUAGAUGAUAAUACAUCAGUCAAUUUAAAUAAAUCAAUUAACUAAUCUAUGGAUGUCACAUAACUGGAAAUACAGAUAUGCAUACAUUUAGUACAUUUCACUAUAUGUAAAAAAGCAAAAGGUAGGGGCGUGGAUCAGAAGACCAGUCAGUAUCUGGUGUGACCACCAUUUGCCUAAUGCAGCGAGAUAUCUCCUUCACAUAGUGUUAUUCCAGCUGUUGAAUGUUGUCCCACUCCCCUUCAAUGGCUGUGUGAAGUUGCUGGAUAUUGGUGGGAAUUGGAACAUGCUGUUGUACACUUCGAUCCAGAGCAUCCCAAACAUGCUCAAUGGGUGACAUGUCUGGAGUAUGGAAUUAUGUUUAGAUCCUUGCAACAUGGGGCCGUGCAUUAUGCUGAAACAUGAGAUGAUGGCGGCGGAUUAAUGGCAUGACAAUGGGCCUCAGAAUCUCGUCACGGGACCUCCGCAUUCAAAUUGCCAUCGAUAAAAUGCAAUUGUGUCUGUUGUCUGUAGUUUAUGCCUGCCCAUAACAUAACCCUCACCGCCACUCUUAUCAACAUUGACAUCAACGAACCACUUGCCCACAUGACGCAAUACACGCAAUCUGCCUGGUUCAGUUGAAACCGGGAUUCAUCUGUGAAGAGUACAUAUCUACAGCCUGCUAGUGGCCAUCGAAGUUGAGCAUUUGCCCACUGAAGUCGGUUUCCUCGCAGAAUUGCAGUCAGGUUAAGACCCUGGUGAGGAUGAUGAGUUUCCCUGAGACGGUCUCUGACAGUUUGUGCAGAAACUCUUUAGUUGUGCAAACCCAUAGUUUCAUCAGCUGUCCGGGUGACUGGUCACAGACAAUCUGGUGAAGAAACUAGAUGUGGAGGUCCUGGGCUGGUGUGCUUACACAUGGUCUGUGGUUGUGAGGCUUGUUGGAUGUACUGCCAAAUUCUCUAAAAUAACGUGGCAGGCAGCUUAUGGUAGAGAAAAUUAUUAAAAUUAUAAUUAUUGAAUUAUUAUUAUUAAAAUUAAAGUAUCUGACAACAGCUCUGGUGGACAUUCCUACAGUCAGCCUGCCAAUUGCACACUCUCUCAACUUGAGACAUUGCGGCAUUGUGUUGGAACAAAACAUUUUAGUGGCCUUUUAUUGUCCUCAGCACAAAAUGCACCUGUGUAAUAACCACGCUGUUUAAUCUACUUUUUUUGAUAUACCACACCUGUCAAGUGGAUGGAUUUUCUUGACAAAGGGGAAAUGCUCACAAACAGGAAUGUAAAACAAAUGUGUGCACAGUUUUAGAGGAAUAAGCUCUUUGGAAAAGCUGGACACUUUCUGGGAUCUUUUUC
Molecule: long non-coding RNA, 2287 nt
Organism: Oncorhynchus tshawytscha (Chinook salmon)
Lineage: Eukaryota; Metazoa; Chordata; Actinopteri; Salmoniformes; Salmonidae
Source: Ensembl